RNAcentral lists this unclassified non-coding RNA (312 nucleotides) under plant metagenome. RNAcentral describes it as "partial contains 5.8S ribosomal RNA, internal transcribed spacer 2, and large subunit ribosomal RNA". The stretch from base 1 to 105 matches the Rfam family "5.8S ribosomal RNA", at positions 50 to 154 of the family's 154-position model. The record is from RNAcentral.
GAAAUGCGAUAAGUAAUGUGAAUUGCAGAAUUCCGUGAAUCAUCGAAUCUUUGAACGCACAUUGCGCCCUCUGGCAUUCCGGGGGGCAUGCCUGUCCGAGCGUCAUUACGCACCCUCAAGCCCGGCUUGUGUGAUGGGCCUCGGCGUCUCGUUCGCGAGACGGGCCCGAAAGGCAGCGGCGGCGUCGACCCGAUGAGCCCGAGCGUAUGGGGACUUCUGUCACACGUUCGCGGUGCGGACCGGCGCCUGCUUGACUUUUCUGAUUAUCCAGGUUGACCUCGGAUCAGGUAGGGAUACCCGCUGAACUUAAGC